GUUGAACGCUGGCGGCAGGCUUAACACAUGCAAGUCGAGCGGAGAGAGGUAGCUUGCUACUGAUCUUAGCGGCGGACGGGUGAGUAAUGCUUAGGAAUCUGCCUAUUAGUGGGGGACAACAUUUCGAAAGGAAUGCUAAUACCGCAUACGUCCUACGGGAGAAAGCAGGGGAUCUUCGGACCUUGCGCUAAUAGAUGAGCCUAAGUCGGAUUAGCUAGUUGGUGGGGGAAAGGCCUACCAAGGCGACGAUCUGUAGCGGGUCUGAGAGGAUGAACCGCCCCACUGGGACUGAGACACAGCCCAGACUCCUACGGGAGGCAGCAGUGGGGAAUAUUGGACAAUGGGCGCAAGCCUGAUCCAUCCAUGCCGCGUGUGUGAAGAAGGCCUUAUGGUUGUAAAGCACUUUAAGCGAGGAGGAGGCUACUUUAGAUAAUACCUAGAGAUAGUGGACGUUACUCGCAGAAUAAGCACCGGCUAACUCUGUGCCAGCCGCCGCAGUAA
RNAcentral lists this ribosomal RNA (501 nucleotides) under uncultured bacterium. RNAcentral describes it as "partial 16S ribosomal RNA". It matches the Rfam family "Bacterial small subunit ribosomal RNA", at positions 28 to 523 of the family's 1533-position model. The record is from RNAcentral.